Molecule: ribosomal RNA, 287 nt
Filed under: uncultured Prevotella sp.
Lineage: Bacteria; Pseudomonadati; Bacteroidota; Bacteroidia; Bacteroidales; Prevotellaceae
Description: partial 16S ribosomal RNA
Rfam family: Bacterial small subunit ribosomal RNA
Source: RNAcentral
UCGAGGGGAAACGAUAUUGGAAGCUUGCUUCCGAUAGGCGUCGACCGGCGCACGGGUGAGUAACGCGUAUCCAACCUGGCCGUCACAGGAGGAUAACCUUGCGAAAGUAAGACUAAUACCCAAUGACGUCUCUAGAAGACAUCUGAAAGAGAUUAAAGAUUUAUCGGUGAUGGAUGGGGAUGCGUCUGAUUAGCUUGUUGGCGGGGUAACGGCCCACCAAGGCAACGAUCAGUAGGGGUUCUGAGAGGAAGGUCCCCACAUUGGAACUGAGACACGGUCCAAACUCC